CUGCCAGUUUUGCUCCUGGUUAGCCCAGGACUUUUUAUAGCAUAGAGUUUUAAAGCAAAGGCUUAGAAUCAGACCUGGGUCAAAAUCCUGCCUUCCACCUUCACCAAGGCAGUGUGACCUUGACUUUCCUACAUAAGAGAUUAAAAUACCCCAAAUUCCAGCGAAACAGCUGAUGCCAGCCAGCUUGAACACCCCUGCCACAGAACAAGGGAAUCAGCCUGAGAAUACAGCUUCUUCAUCUCCCUGUCCCAUGACUUCGCCCUGCACUCUUCAGCCAAUUAAUGAUCUCCACACUUCGGACCACUCCAAAACCCUUAAGAACCUGAGCCUCAAAGUCCUCCUGGAGACGAAUUUGAGGUUUCCUCCUAUCUGUGUUUGGUGGCCCUAUGAUUUAAACCUCUUUCUCUUCUGCAACCUGGUGUCCCAGUGUAUUAACUUGCCAUGGGCAUCAGACAACAAACCUAUAUAUAGUAUCCCAAAUAUAGUGCUCCACUUUGAAA
This 500-nucleotide long non-coding RNA is filed under the name Pongo abelii (Sumatran orangutan). RNAcentral's name for it is "lincRNA". The record is from RNAcentral. Lineage: Eukaryota; Metazoa; Chordata; Mammalia; Primates; Hominidae.